Long non-coding RNA from Rhipicephalus microplus (southern cattle tick), 550 nucleotides. Lineage: Eukaryota; Metazoa; Arthropoda; Arachnida; Ixodida; Ixodidae. The record is from RefSeq and is a predicted model, not a curated record.
GGCGUUGGCUUGCUGCAGUCCGUUGGCAGAAUAGGAAGGAACGUGGUUGGUGAACCGGACGGUGGUCUCCUGGGCUUGCUCAGUUCACUAUUCAGCGGCUUUAAUGUCAGCUUAGACCUUACAAGAAAUGUUUUGCUGGCUGUGCUUGGGACCAAGGAUAUCCUUCUCGGUACGCCUUCAAAGGAUGCGCUGACGACCAAUCCUUAGGCCAACACGAACAAGUACGAAGGAGGAAGCUGCUGAGAGAUCGCUGGAUCACGCCUAUACGGUGAAAACGAUCAUGUGUACACGCCAGCCAAGAACGUGUCCUCCGGGCUCUGUGUGGUGUCCUUAGACUUUCGGAGUGGACUGAAAUGGAAAAACUGUAUUGAAGUCCUGGACACCUAUAAUAAUAUAUGAGAAUCCACAUAACUUAAAUGAAACAUUUUAAAGAAUACAAAAACUCAGAAGCUUCGGUAUUUUGGUAGCUAUCAUCGCCGAAGAAAGUCGCACAGACAAGGACACAAUGUAAUAGAGAUGUGUGAAUAAAACGACGCAUUUUCAAAUUCUU